UCUAUGACGGGUAUCCGGCCUGAGAGGGUGAUCGGACACACUGGAACUGAGACACGGUCCAGACUCCUACGGGAGGCAGCAGUAGGGAAUAUUGCUCAAUGGGGGAAACCCUGAAGCAGCAACGCCGCGUGGAGGAUGAAGGUUUUAGGAUUGUAAACUCCUUUUGUUAGAGAAGAUAAUGACGGUAUCUAACGAAUAAGCACCGGCUAACUCCGUGCCAGCAGCCGCGGUAAUACGGAGGGUGCAAGCGUUACUCGGAAUCACUGGGCGUAAAGAGCGCGUAGGCGGGAUAGUCAGUCAGGUGUGAAAUCCUAUGGCUUAACCAUAGAACUGCAUUUGAAACUACUAUUCUAGAGUGUGGGAGAGGUAGGUGGAAU
Molecule: ribosomal RNA, 377 nt
Filed under: Helicobacter pylori
Lineage: Bacteria; Pseudomonadati; Campylobacterota; Epsilonproteobacteria; Campylobacterales; Helicobacteraceae
Description: bacterial SSU rRNA
Rfam family: Bacterial small subunit ribosomal RNA
Source: RNAcentral